This 1849-nucleotide unclassified non-coding RNA is filed under the name Leishmania donovani. RNAcentral describes it as "gene:LdHU3.35.3370(CDS-product:hypothetical_prote in_conserved)". The record is from RNAcentral. Lineage: Eukaryota; Euglenozoa; Kinetoplastea; Trypanosomatida; Trypanosomatidae.
ACUGUCCUGUGCUUGCUUCUCCUCUGUGCAACCGACAGCGCUUAUCGGCACGGACACACACGGACCCAGAGAGAUACACGACAUCUUGUGUCUAUCGUUGUCUUCUGUGCACACAAAGCGCCUUUGCGCUACCAUUCUCGCUGACACGUUGAUGGUGGUGUGUGUGUGUGUGUGUGUGUGUGUGUGUGUGUGUCUGUCGCUGGUCUAUACAUUGAGAGCCCCCUUCCCCCUUCCCACAGCGAUAUUCCCCCCCCCUUCCCCCCCCCGUCCUCACCCUUCUACUGUACAACACCCACGCAUACCGUCAGCACAGGACGGAAGAACUGUGGUCUUGACAGAUUUCACAACUUUCGCCAGCAGUUUUAGAGAUCUCAAUGAGCUCAGACGACAUAGACGCCCUCCGUUCAGAGCUGCUCCGACAGAAGAUUAUAUUCGAGGCGGAGCUGCGUCGCCAGCGUGAGACGUUUGAGGAGCGGCUUUCACUCAUCACCAAUGAGCUCGCUGAUCGCGAGGCGGAUUGCCGCAAUCUUCAGUCGGUCAUCACCAUCCUCGGCCGCAAAGUGGACGCCAUCGCGGAGCAGCGUCAGUACAUUGCCGUAGUUCACCGUCCACCUACACCGACGCGCCAGCCCAGCAUUCAUGAGAGUCCGUUCCGUCGUGAGACCUCCGCUCUCGUGCCGCCCCUGAGUAGCAACGGCGAUGCGCAAGAACACGAGCGCGCCACCUCGACCGUGAAGAAGAGCGGCUCGCGCCGGCCCUCACCAUCCCUCAACGACCCCCCGGCGUUUGUGCGGCGCUCGGGCAUGCCCAUCACCCGGGUUGCGUCUAUUAGUGCCCUCAGCCGUACAAGCAGCCCGCACGUGCAUGGACACGCUGCCCGCCCGCUUCUCAGGACAAACACGUCCGCUACCGUGACGAGCGAGGGGAAUAGCAACAGUGAAAAACGUGCGCUGCGGCACCGCGCCGUGUCGAGGCGGCGCACGAGCAGCGUAAGUCACCUCGCGGGCCUCAGGUCUACAGAUGACUGGUAAGCAUGCGGGGAAUACGAGGAUCGCAUGUCGCCCACGUCUGGGAAGCAAUGUGAAGGCAAAUGGCCCGCCUCAGUACUGGCCACAACGGGACGGAUCCGUACUGGUUUUCCCUGUCUUUCUUGUUUGCGGCUCGAAACGUGUGGAUUGCGUGCCCUGCAGCUGCCGAAGAGCCCAAGUUGGCUUUGAUACUGCUGUGUGUGUGUAGUGAGGCGUGUGGCAGCAGCCUUCGGGGACUUGUUAAACCUUUUUUUUUUCGUCUGUGGUUGCAUCGUGUGCCUCCACCUCUUUGGUGCUUGUUCUCUUCUCUUGCACAUACAGUCAAAGAAAUGGGCACCCUCGCAGAGAGCAGCAUGUGGGAUUACCUCGCGCGUGGAAAGGUGAGAGCACGGACACCCAUCCCUCUCUCCUGGUAGGUGUGGCCUGCGGCAUUCGCGUGCCGAAGCACACUGCAAGGUGGUGGUGAUGGUGGCUACCGCUGCUACACAUGCGCAUCCGCCUCCCGUUUUCUUUUUUAUUCAUCAUCGAUUGGCACAGGCCUGAGCGCGCAGGCCAAGUUUGCUUUCCCUCUCUUCGCUCCGCCCUGUUGAGUGUAUCACUUUACUCUCUUCCUUGUGCUGUAGGCUAGAGGUUGUGUUGUCAUAUCUUUUUCUGUGCGUGUGCUUGACAUAGACGUAGACCGAGCUCUGGGCGGCUUCUUUGAUUGGCGAGGCACCCGCCCACCUAUGCUACGGCGAGGGCCGUGCCCUCUCUGUGAUUGUGAUGUUCUUCUGCACCGUACGCACAUGGCGUCGCUGCGGAGGUUUUCAUACCGUUCUAAC